Molecule: ribosomal RNA, 373 nt
Filed under: uncultured bacterium
Lineage: Bacteria
Description: bacterial SSU rRNA
Rfam family: Bacterial small subunit ribosomal RNA
Source: RNAcentral
GUAGGGGGCAAGCGUUGUCCGGAUUUAUUGGGCGUAAAGAGCUCGUAGGCGGUUUCGUUAGUCGGGUGUGAAAACCCCAGGCUCAACCUGGGGACGCCACCCGAUACUGCGAUGACUAGAGUCCGGUAGGGGAGUGUGGAAUUCCUGGUGUAGCGGUGAAAUGCGCAGAUAUCAGGAGGAACACCAACGGCGAAGGCAGCACUCUGGGCCGGAACUGACGCUGAGGAGCGAAAGCGUGGGUAGCGAACAGGAUUAGAUACCCUGGUAGUCCACGCCGUAAACGUUGGGCACUAGGUGUGGGAUCUUUCCAACGGAUUCCGUGCCGUAGCUAACGCAUUAAGUGCCCCGCCUGGGGAGUACGGCCGCAAGGCUA